RNAcentral lists this unclassified non-coding RNA (220 nucleotides) under uncultured Propionibacteriaceae bacterium. RNAcentral describes it as "contains 16S-23S intergenic spacer region". The record is from RNAcentral. Lineage: Bacteria; Bacillati; Actinomycetota; Actinomycetes; Propionibacteriales; Propionibacteriaceae.
UCCGAGUUGACCCCGGCAGUCUCCCAUGAGUCCCCACCAUUACGUGCUGGCAACAUGGAACGAGGGUUGCGCUCGUUGCGGGACUUAACCCAACAUCUCACGACACGAGCUGACGACAGCCAUGCACCACCUGUGCACGGCCCUUACGGACCCGACAUCUCUGCCGGAUUUCCGUGCAUGUCAAGCCCAGGUAAGGUGGGGAUGACGUAGCUAAGCCUUC